Non-coding RNA from Castor canadensis (American beaver), 482 nucleotides. NCBI's taxonomy places the organism in Eukaryota, Metazoa, Chordata, Mammalia, Rodentia, Castoridae. The record is from RefSeq and is a predicted model, not a curated record.
CAGCAUGUCAUGAUGAUGUAGUUAAGAUUGUGAAUCUAGCAUGCAAAUAUAACCUUUGUAUCAUACCAAUUGGUGGUAGAACAAGUGUUUCAUAUGGCUGAUGUGUCCUGCAGAUGAGACAAGAACAAAAUUUUCUUUGGACACUUCACAAAUGAAUCGAAUUCUCUGGGUUGAUGAGAACAAUCUGACAGCUCAUGUAGAAGCUGGCAUAACAGGACAAGACUUAGAAAGACAGCUUAAAGAAAGUGGCUAUUGUACAGGUCAUGAACCAGAUUCCUUGGAAUUCAGCACUGUGGGAGGAUGGAUAUCUACUCGGGCAUCAGCAUGAAGAAGAAUAUCUACGGCAUAUUGAGGACCUGGUGGUUCAUAUUAAAAUGGUCACACCUAGAGGUGUAAUAGAAAAAAGCUCUCAAGGACCUCGUAUGUCAACAGGGCCUGAUAUUCAUCAUUCAUCAUGGGAUCUGAAGGUAAUCUUGGUUUAA